This is a long non-coding RNA of Chenopodium quinoa (quinoa), 890 nucleotides long. RefSeq lists it as uncharacterized. The transcript is spliced from 4 exons. The record is from RefSeq and is a predicted model, not a curated record. Lineage: Eukaryota; Viridiplantae; Streptophyta; Magnoliopsida; Caryophyllales; Amaranthaceae.
GACGAUGGUUACUAAUUUGAAAUUUGAGAAGGUUAGAAAAUCUAUUAGUAACCAGCCCAUUAAGUGUUGGAUACAAAUUUUGAGUCAAAUAAAAUUUCUUACACAAUAUUUAUUAUUUUCUUAAAAACCUAAGUACUGUAGUUUUUUUAUUCUUUUCACUUACGUUUUUGACUUAAUGAGUUCUAAUACUGUAUACUCCUUUAUCUUCCAAUAUCUUCUCCUUUUCCUCAAUAAAACUAAACGGUUGAAAUUCUCAAUCAAAAUUGCUUUUUGUUAAUGAAGAAUGAUAUGAAAUUCAGCAAACGUGGGCUAUAUUGAGGUUAAAGAAGAAGAUCAAAACGAGCAGAAAUCGGGUUGUAUUUGUUUUUGCUUCGUUUGCUACUACUUAAGCUUAUCCUUAAUUACCAGACUCUUAGUGUUCAUCGAAGCUUCUCAAUCUGAGGUCAAGAAGGCUUUCUGACGCCUUGCUUUGCAGGCAGCAGGAAUUUGAAAAGUCGGCUAUAGGAAAAGUUGUUCGCGCAUAUGCAACAAAAGAAAAGCAGUGUGAAAACACUAAUAAGGGUGAACCAAGUCUACAGAAUUUUGUCGCAAUAUCAAGUGUUCAGUGAGAACUACUGCUAUCCCGGCCUAUACAGAAUAGUCAAAUUUGUGAAGCAGGCAAAAUAAACAAAAUCGUCAAAAUUUGAAGGUUGACCAUUGUAUCAAUUAACUAACUAGCUUAUUUUAGUUAUAGAGUAUUAUUUAUUGUGAAUUGUGAGAGAAAUAUUUGUAAUUUACAAUUACAUCAAUUCAAUGUAAUUGACAAGGUGUCGCUUAAAGUUGGUCUUAGAUUAGUUACAUUGAUAGUUAUUGUAUUUUAUAAAAGUUUAUUGACUAUUAAUGGUCAUUAC